RNAcentral lists this ribosomal RNA (501 nucleotides) under uncultured bacterium. RNAcentral's name for it is "partial 16S ribosomal RNA". It matches the Rfam family "Bacterial small subunit ribosomal RNA", at positions 30 to 523 of the family's 1533-position model. The record is from RNAcentral.
AUUGAACGCUGGCGGCAGGCUUAACACAUGCAAGUCGAGCGGAGCGAAGGUGCUUGCAUCUUAGCUUAGCGGCGGACGGGUGAGUAAUGCUUAGGAAUCUGCCUAUUAGUGGGGGACAACGUUUCGAAAGGAACGCUAAUACCGCAUACGUCCUACGGGAGAAAGCAGGGGAUCUUCGGACCUUGUGCUAAUAGGUGAGCCUAAGUCGGAUUAGCUAGUUGGUGGGUUAAAGGCCUACCAAGGCGACGAUCUGUAGCGGGUCUGAGAGGAUGAUCCGCCACACUGGGACUGAGACACGGCCCAGACUCCUACGGGAGGCAGCAGUGGGGAAUAUUGGACAAUGGGCGAAAGCCUGAUCCAGCCAUGCCGCGUGUGUGAAGAAGGCCUUUUGGUUGUAAAGCACUUUAAGCGAGGAGGAGGAGCUUCAGGUUAAUACCCUGGAUGCUUGGACGUUACUCGCAGAAUAAGCACCGGCUAACUCUGUGCCAGCAGCCGCCGUAA